GACGGAGCAAUACCGCGUGAGGGAGGAAGGCUCUUGGGUUGUAACCUCUUUUCUCAGGGAAUAAUAAGUUGAAGGUACCUGAGGAAUAAGCAUCGGCUAACUCCGUGCCAGCAGCCGCGGUAAUACGGAGGAUGCAAGCGUUAUCCGGAAUGAUUGGGCGUAAAGCGUCCGCAGGUGGUUUAUCAAGUCUGCUGUCAAAGCGUCUGGCUUAACUAGAUAAAGGCAGUGGAAACUGAGAGACUGGAGUAUGGUAGGGGUAGAGGGAAUUCCCGGUGUAGCGGUGAAAUGCGUAGAGAUCGGGAAGAACACCGGUGGCGAAAGCGCUCUGCUGGACCAUAACUGACACUGAGGGACGAAAGCUAGGGGAGCGAAUGGGAUUAGAUACCCCAGUAGUCCUAGCCGUAAACGAUGGAUACUAGGCGUUACGCGUAUCGACCCGCGUAGUGCCGGAGCCAACGCGUUAAGUAUCCCGCCUGGGGAGUACGCACGCAAGUGUGAAACUCAAAGGAAUUGACGGGGGCCCGCACAAGCGGUGGAGUAUGUGGUUUAAUUCGAUGCAACGCGAAGAACCUUACCAGGGCUUGACAUGUCGCGAAUCUCUCUGAAAGGAGAGAGUGCCUUAGGGAGCGCGAACACAGGUGGUGCAUGGCUGUCGUCAGCUCGUGUCGUGAGAUGUUGGGUUAAGUCCCGCAACGAGCGCAACCCUCGUACUUAGUUGCCAUCAUUAAGUUGGGAACUCUAAGAAGACUGCCGGUGACAAACCGGAGGAAGGUGGGGAUGACGUCAAGUCAGCAUGCCCCUUACGUCCUGGGCUACACACGUACUACAAUGCUGUGGACAGAGGGCAGCAAGCUAGUGAUAGCAAGCAAAUCUCACAAACCACGGCUCAGUUCAGAUCGCAGGCUGCAACUCGCCUGCGUGAAGGUGGAAUCGCUAGUAAUUGCAGGUCAGCAUACUGCAGUGAAUUCG
RNAcentral lists this ribosomal RNA (969 nucleotides) under Scytonema bilaspurensis NK13. RNAcentral describes it as "bacterial SSU rRNA". It matches the Rfam family "Bacterial small subunit ribosomal RNA", at positions 385 to 1370 of the family's 1533-position model. Lineage: Bacteria; Bacillati; Cyanobacteriota; Cyanophyceae; Nostocales; Scytonemataceae. The record is from RNAcentral.